UACGGGGGGGGCAAGCGUUGUUCGGAAUUACCGGGCGUAAAGGGCUCGUAGGCGGCCAACUAAGUCAGACGUGAAAUCCCUCGGCUUAACCGGGGAACUGCGUCUGAUACUGGAUGGCUUGAGAUUGGGAGAGGGAUGCGGAAUUCCAGGUGUAGCGGUGAAAUGCGUAGAUAUCUGGAGGAACACCGGUGGCGAAGGCGGCAUCCUGGACCAACACUGACGCUGAGGGAGCGAAAGCCAGGGGAGCAAACGGG
RNAcentral lists this ribosomal RNA (254 nucleotides) under uncultured bacterium. RNAcentral describes it as "partial 16S ribosomal RNA". It matches the Rfam family "Bacterial small subunit ribosomal RNA", at positions 524 to 776 of the family's 1533-position model. The record is from RNAcentral.